Molecule: ribosomal RNA, 477 nt
Filed under: uncultured bacterium
Lineage: Bacteria
Description: partial 16S ribosomal RNA
Rfam family: Bacterial small subunit ribosomal RNA
Source: RNAcentral
GAUGAACGCUGGCGGCGUGCCUAACACAUGCAAGUCGAACGAGAUGCGUAUUGGAAAGCUUCGGCCGGAAGAUGCGUUAUCUAGUGGCGGACGGGUGAGUAACACGUGGGUAACCUGCCUUAUGGAGGGGGAUAACAGAGAGAAAUCACUGCUAAUACCGCAUAAGCACACAUUGCCGCAUGGCAGAGUGUGAAAAGAUUUAUCGCCAUAAGAUGGACCCGCGUCUGAUUAGCCAGUUGGCAGGGUAAAAGCCUACCAAAGCAACGAUCAGUAGCCCAUCUGAGAGGAUGACCGGCCACAUUGGGACUGAGACACGGCCCAAACUCCUACGGGAGGCAGCAGUGGGGAAUAUUGCACAAUGGGGGAAACCCUGAUGCAGCGACGCCGCGUGAGUGAAGAAGUAUUUCGGUAUGUAAAGCUCUAUCAGCAGGGAAGAUAAUGACAGUACCUGACUAAGAAGCCCCGGCUAACUACGUG